GGGAGACAAAGGCGCUAUGGGGAUCCGUGGACUACGGGGACUAAAGGGGCAACAUGGAGAGAAGGGAGCCCCCGGAGAAGCUGGCAUGUCUAUCAUUGGUCCCCGUGGUCCUCCGGGACAACCUGGAACAAGAGGUUUUCCUGGGUUUCCAGGCCCAAUUGGUUUAGACGGCAAACC
Heteronotia binoei (common prickly gecko) is the source of this 177-nucleotide long non-coding RNA. RefSeq lists it as uncharacterized. The record is from RefSeq and is a predicted model, not a curated record. The transcript is spliced from 5 exons. Lineage: Eukaryota; Metazoa; Chordata; Lepidosauria; Squamata; Gekkonidae.